GAUGAACGCUGGCGGCGUGCUUAACACAUGCAAGUCGAACGGGAAACAUUUUAUUGAAGCUUCGGCAGAUUUAGCUUGUUUCUAGUGGCGGACGGGUGAGUAACGCGUGGGUAACCUGCCUCACACUGGGGGAUAACAGUCAGAAAUGACUGCUAAUACCGCAUAAGCGCACGGGACCGCAUGGUUUUGUGUGAAAAACUCCGGUGGUGUGAGAUGGACCCGCGUUGGAUUAGCCAGUUGGCAGGGUAACGGCCUACCAAAGCGACGAUCCAUAGCCGGCCUGAGAGGGUGAACGGCCACAUUGGGACUGAGACACGGCCCAG
Molecule: ribosomal RNA, 323 nt
Filed under: uncultured bacterium
Lineage: Bacteria
Description: bacterial SSU rRNA
Rfam family: Bacterial small subunit ribosomal RNA
Source: RNAcentral